This 269-nucleotide ribosomal RNA is filed under the name uncultured bacterium. Its description in RNAcentral is "partial 16S ribosomal RNA". It matches the Rfam family "Bacterial small subunit ribosomal RNA", at positions 597 to 864 of the family's 1533-position model. The record is from RNAcentral.
AAAUUCCGGGGCUCAACCUCGGAACUGCAUUUGAUACUGCUUGGCUAGAGUACUGGAGAGGAGACUGGAAUUUACGGUGUAGCAGUGAAAUGCGUAGAUAUCGUAAGGAAGGCCAGUNNNNAAAGUGAGUCUCUGGACAGUAACUGACGCUGAUGCACGAAGGCUAGGGGAGCAAACGGGAUUAGAUACCCCGGUAGUCCUAGCAGUAAACGGUGCACGUUUGGUGUGGGAGGAAUCGACCCCUUCCGUGCCGGAGCUAACGCGUUAAA